CAGAAUCUGAAGACUACUUGCUCCUCUGCUCAACACAGGAGGGAAAAACUUGUACUAUUUAAUGUUAUGGUAUGUGGAAUUAGCUCAGAGCACUGGCAGCUCAAGCUUCCAAAGAACUGUGAAUAAUAAUUCAUCCAGUGAUACCUGUCAAUGGUCCUCUCCUGUUUUGGGUGAGAAGCAAACACAUCAUGUCUACAGAACAUCAAGCAAAGAAUAAUUUGAAGCCUAUUUCCAGCUGCUUGAACCUUUGGAUAAAUGGCCAAGGAGAGAAGGGAAGGGAAAAUCAGAGAGAAGAAUGAGAGGUUCAAGAGUUGCACCAAGUUGUGAGUACCGAUUGCCUACCUCCUCCAUCUCCACAAUCUUCACUACAGCUAUUGGAAGAGAAACACUGGAGGUGAGCUACAGCAAUAAAGUGCCCAUGCUGAGGAAUAGCAAAGUGAGCUGAACACAUAAAACAAGUGAUAGGGACAGGCCAAACAUCAGGUACUGUACUAUGAUAUCAUUAACUUCCGUGAACUACAUAAAUUAAGCUGAUUAUGCCUUCACUUAAUUAACUGAGAAUGACCUAUUGAUGUAUAGGCCGAGUUAGCUAGAGACCGCUUGCUGCACUGUACUUAAUUUAUUGGUUUUCAAUUAGUUCUUCCAUUGCCUGUGAUUGUUGAGAAAAAAAAAAAAAAU
This is a long non-coding RNA of Hyaena hyaena (striped hyena), 678 nucleotides long. RefSeq lists it as uncharacterized. NCBI's taxonomy places the organism in Eukaryota, Metazoa, Chordata, Mammalia, Carnivora, Hyaenidae. The transcript has 4 exons. The record is from RefSeq and is a predicted model, not a curated record.